GAUGAACGCUGGCGGCGUGCCUAAUACAUGCAAGUCGAGCGAACAGAUGCGGAGCUUGCUCCUCUCACGUUAGCGGCGGACGGGUGAGUAACACGUGGAUAACCUCCCUAUAAGACUGGGAUAACUUCGGGACACCGGAGCAAAUACCGGAUAAUCUCUUGAACCGUAUGGUUCAAUAGUGAAUGACGGCUUUGCUGUCACUUAUAGCUGGAUCCGCGCCGCAUUAGCUAGUUGGUAAGUUCACGGCUUAUCAAGGCAACGAUGCGUAGCCGACCUGAGAGAGGGAUCGGCCACACGGGAACUGAGACACGGUCCAGACGCCUACGAGAGGCAGCAGUAGGGAAUGUUCCGCAAUGGGCGAAAGCCUGACGGAGCAACGCCGCGUGAGUGAUGAAGGUCUUCGGAUCGUAAAACUCUGUUAUUAGGGAAGAACAAAUGUGUAAGUAACUAUGCACGUCUUGACGGUACCGAAUCAGAAAGCCACGGCUAACUACGUG
This 497-nucleotide ribosomal RNA is filed under the name uncultured bacterium. RNAcentral describes it as "partial 16S ribosomal RNA". It matches the Rfam family "Bacterial small subunit ribosomal RNA", at positions 28 to 507 of the family's 1533-position model. The record is from RNAcentral.